RNAcentral lists this ribosomal RNA (468 nucleotides) under uncultured bacterium. RNAcentral describes it as "partial 16S ribosomal RNA". It matches the Rfam family "Bacterial small subunit ribosomal RNA", at positions 28 to 507 of the family's 1533-position model. The record is from RNAcentral.
GACGAACGCUGGCGGCGUGCUUAACACAUGCAAGUCGAACGGAAAGGCCCUGCUUUUGUGGGGUGCUCGAGUGGCGAACGGGUGAGUAACACGUGAGUAACCUGCCCUUGACUUUGGGAUAACUUCAGGAAACUGGGGCUAAUACCGGAUAGGAGCUCCUGCUGCAUGGUGGGGGUUGGAAAGUUUCGGCGGUUGGGGAUGGACUCGCGGCUUAUCAGCUUGUUGGUGGGGUAGUGGCUUACCAAGGCUUUGACGGGUAGCCGGCCUGAGAGGGUGACCGGCCACCUUGGGACUGAGAUACGGCCCAGACUCCUACGGGAGGCAGCAGUGGGGAAUAUUGCACAAUGGGAGGAAGCCUGAUGCAGCAACGCCGCGUGCGGGAUGACGGCCUUCGGGUUGUAAACCGCUUUCGCCUGUGACGAAGCGUGAGUGACGGUAAUGGGUAAAGAAGCACCGGCUAACUACGUG